GACGAACGCUGGCGGCGUGCCUAACACAUGCAAGUCGAACGGAAAGGCCCUGCUUUUGUGGGGUGCUCGAGUGGCGAACGGGUGAGUAACACGUGAGUAACCUGCCCUUGACUUUGGGAUAACUUCAGGAAACUGGGGCUAAUACCGGAUAGGAGCUCCUGCUGCAUGGUGGGGGUUGGAAAGUUUCGGUGGUUGGGGAUGGACUGGCGGCUUAUCAGCUUGUUGGUUGGGUAGUGGCUUACCAUGGGUUCGACGGGUAGCCGGCCUGGGAGGGUGGACGGGCACAAUACGACUGCGCUACGGCGCAGUCUCCAACGGUAGGCAGCGGUGGAGAGUAUUACACAGUGGGCGGGAGCGUGAUGAGACGGCGCCGCGUGCGGGAAGACGGCCUUCUGGUUGUGAACCGCUUUCGCCUGAGACGAGGCGUGAGUGACGGUACUGGGUGAAUAAGCACCGGCUAACUACGUG
RNAcentral lists this ribosomal RNA (468 nucleotides) under uncultured bacterium. RNAcentral describes it as "partial 16S ribosomal RNA". It matches the Rfam family "Bacterial small subunit ribosomal RNA", at positions 28 to 507 of the family's 1533-position model. The record is from RNAcentral.